RNAcentral lists this transfer RNA (71 nucleotides) under Ictidomys tridecemlineatus (thirteen-lined ground squirrel). RNAcentral's name for it is "Spermophilus tridecemlineatus (thirteen-lined ground squirrel) tRNA". It matches the Rfam family "tRNA". Rfam says of the family: Transfer RNA (tRNA) molecules are approximately 80 nucleotides in length. Lineage: Eukaryota; Metazoa; Chordata; Mammalia; Rodentia; Sciuridae. The record is from Rfam by way of RNAcentral.
GGAGAUGUGGCUCAGAGGUAGAGUGCUUGCUUUGCAUGCAGAAGGCCCUGGGUUCAAUACCCAGUACUUCA